GUAUCGUUAUCGAAAGGUGAUGAGAAGGUAUCAGAGAAGUCAGCAGAGGCUAUAAUAUCCGCCAGGUAGCGGAGAAGGGC
Molecule: non-coding RNA, 80 nt
Organism: Caldithrix sp. RBG_13_44_9
Lineage: Bacteria; Pseudomonadati; Calditrichota; Calditrichia; Calditrichales; Calditrichaceae
Source: Rfam